RNAcentral lists this ribosomal RNA (292 nucleotides) under uncultured bacterium. RNAcentral's name for it is "partial 16S ribosomal RNA". It matches the Rfam family "Bacterial small subunit ribosomal RNA", at positions 505 to 796 of the family's 1533-position model. The record is from RNAcentral.
GUGCCAGCAGCCGCGGUAAUACGCAGAGGGCAAGCGUUGUCCGGAAUCAUUGGGCGUAAAGGGUACGCAGGUGGAUAUGCAAGUCAAAUGUGAAAGGUAUCGGCUUAACCGAUAGAGUGCAUUUGAAACUGUAUAUCUUGAGUACAGCAGAGGAGAACGGAAUUCCUGGAGUAGCGGUGAAAUGCGUAGAUAUCAGGAAGAACACCAGUGGCGAAAGCGGUUCUCUGGGCUGUUACUGACGCUGAGGUACGAAAGCGGGGGCAGCGAACGGGAUUAGAUACCCGGGUAGUCC